UACGUAGGGUGCGAGCGUUAAUCGGAAUUACUGGGCGUAAAGCGUGCGCAGGCGGUUCGUUAAGUUCGAUGUGAAAGCCCCGGGCUCGACCUGGGAAUUGCAUUGGAAACUGGCGGGCUUGAGUGUGGCAGAGGGGGGUGGAAUUCCACGUGUAGCAGUGAAAUGCGUAGAUAUGCGGAGGAACACCGAUGGCGAAGGCAAUCCCCUGGGCCUGCACUGACGCUCAUGCACGAAAGCGUGGGGAGCGAACAGG
RNAcentral lists this ribosomal RNA (253 nucleotides) under uncultured bacterium. RNAcentral describes it as "partial 16S ribosomal RNA". It matches the Rfam family "Bacterial small subunit ribosomal RNA", at positions 524 to 776 of the family's 1533-position model. The record is from RNAcentral.